CGUCAAGUCAGCAUGGCCUUUAUGUCCAGGGCCACACACGUGCUACAAUGGCCGAUACAAACCGUUGCAAUCUCGCGAGGGGGAGCUAAUCCGAUAAAACCGUUCUCAGUUCGGAUUGUAGGCUGCAACUCGCCUACAUGAAGCCGGAAUCGCUAGUAAUCGCGGGUCAGCAUACCGCGGUGAAUGUGUUCCUGAGCCUU
Molecule: ribosomal RNA, 200 nt
Filed under: uncultured organism
Description: partial small subunit ribosomal RNA
Rfam family: Bacterial small subunit ribosomal RNA
Source: RNAcentral